UACGUAGGGUGCAAGCGUUGUCCGGAAUUACCGGGCGUAAAGAGCUCGUAGGUGGUUUGUCACGUCGUCUGUGAAAUUCCACAGCUUAACUGUGGGCGUGCAGGCGAUACGGGCUGACUUGAGUACUGUAGGGGUAACUGGAAUUCCUGGUGUAGCGGUGAAAUGCGCAGAUAUCAGGAGGAACACCGAUGGCGAAGGCAGGUUACUGGGCAGUCACUGACGCUGAGGAGCGAAAGCAU
RNAcentral lists this ribosomal RNA (239 nucleotides) under uncultured Actinomycetales bacterium. RNAcentral describes it as "partial 16S ribosomal RNA". It matches the Rfam family "Bacterial small subunit ribosomal RNA", at positions 524 to 762 of the family's 1533-position model. The record is from RNAcentral. Lineage: Bacteria; Bacillati; Actinomycetota; Actinomycetes; Actinomycetales.